GCCCGUUAGGAUAAGCCCUAAAAGUGCGAGUCGACGGCCGCACAGGAGAGCUUGCUCUCUGGGUGGCGAGUGGCGGACGGGUGAAGAAUACAUCGGAAUCUACUCUGUCGUGGGGGAUAACGUAGGGAAACUUACGCUAAUACCGCAUACGACCUACGGGUGAAAGCAGGGGACCUUCGGGCCUUGCGCGAUUGAAUGACCCGAUGUCGGAUUAUCUAGUUGGCGGGGUAAAGGCCCACCAAGGCGACGAUCCGUAGCUGGUCUGAGAGGAUGAUCACCCACACUGGAACUGAGACACGGUCCACACUCCUACGGGAGGCAGCAGUGGGGAAUAUUGGACAAUGGGCGCAAGCCUGAUCCAGCCAUACCGCGUGGGUGAAGAAGGCCUUCGGGUUGUAAAGCCCUUUUGUUGGGAAAGAAAUCCAGCUGGCUAAUACCCGGUUGGGAUGACGGUACCCAAAGAAUAAGCACCGGCUAACUUCGUGCCAGCAGCCGCGGUAAUACGAAGGGUGCAAGCGUUACUCGGAAUUACUGGGCGUAAAGCGUGCGUAGGUGGUCGUUUAAGUCCGUUGUGAAAGCCCUGGGCUCAACCUGGGAACUGCAGUGGAUACUGGAAGACUAGAGUGUGGUAGAGGGUAGCGGAAUUCCUGGUGUAGCAGUGAAAUGCGUAUAGAUCAAGAGGAACAUCUGUGGCGAAGGCAGCUACCUGGACCAUCAUUGACACUGAGGCACGAAGCGUGGGGAGCAAACAGGAUUAGAUAC
RNAcentral lists this ribosomal RNA (762 nucleotides) under Stenotrophomonas sp. Its description in RNAcentral is "bacterial SSU rRNA". It matches the Rfam family "Bacterial small subunit ribosomal RNA", at positions 31 to 785 of the family's 1533-position model. The record is from RNAcentral. Lineage: Bacteria; Pseudomonadati; Pseudomonadota; Gammaproteobacteria; Lysobacterales; Lysobacteraceae.